This 251-nucleotide ribosomal RNA is filed under the name uncultured bacterium. Its description in RNAcentral is "partial 16S ribosomal RNA". It matches the Rfam family "Bacterial small subunit ribosomal RNA", at positions 524 to 769 of the family's 1533-position model. The record is from RNAcentral.
UACGUAGGGUGCAAGCGUUGUCCGGAAUUAUUGGGCGUAAAGAGCUCGUAGGCGGUCUGUCGCGUCGGCUGUGAAAACCCGGAGCUCAACUCCGGGCCUGCAGUCGAUACGGGCAGACUGGAGUUCGGCAGGGGAGACUGGAAUUCCUGGUGUAGCGGUGAAAUGCGCAGAUAUCAGGGAGGAACAGCCGGUGGCGAAGGCGGGUCUCUGGGCAGUUGAACUGACGCUGGAGGAGCGAAAGCAUGGGGAGC